ACAUACCCCACUCCUAAAGUCAAAUUCCCUUAUAUUCUUUGCUGCACCAGAAAACACUCCUUGCUCAUCUUCCUUUACUUUUUCUUUUCUUCUUCCUUUGCUCUACCCGGCAGCACCUCUCUUUCACCCUCUCACCAAAAAUCAUAGACAACUCUCUUUAAGAAGAAAUUAAGAGCCUAACACUAAGGUUUCAUCUUCAAAUUUUGGGGUGACGAGAACGAGAACAUGGACACUUGAGCUCCUCGUACAUAAUCUCUCGCGCCUUUUGUUUUCAGUGCACAGGUUCUUCCCGAAAGCAGCGAGAGUAUUAGAGGUGGCAAGGAUUCUGUAUUUUCUCGUUUGUUAGAAUGUAGAGUUUUGUUGUAUAGCAUUUAGCUCUUUUGUUGUAUAGAAGAAAUCAAGAUGUACUUGAUCCUUUGAGCACAGAUGUAAUUCGGUACCUUAUUUUGUUUUGAACCUCAGUUGUAUGUCUUUGGGGUUAGGUUUGUAAUAAGAGUUUUACUAAACAUUUAGUUAUGUAAUAUUUACAUGAAUACCUUAAGUUUCAGCCAAGUGGUAUUUUUCCAAGUUCGAAGGAAAUAAAAUUUCAGGGUUGCCAUCA
Long non-coding RNA from Quercus lobata, 601 nucleotides. RefSeq lists it as uncharacterized. The record is from RefSeq and is a predicted model, not a curated record. The transcript is spliced from 3 exons. NCBI's taxonomy places the organism in Eukaryota, Viridiplantae, Streptophyta, Magnoliopsida, Fagales, Fagaceae.